Molecule: ribosomal RNA, 683 nt
Filed under: Alexandrium sp. tamutum
Lineage: Eukaryota; Dinophyceae; Gonyaulacales; Pyrocystaceae
Description: eukaryotic LSU rRNA
Rfam family: Eukaryotic large subunit ribosomal RNA
Source: RNAcentral
GCGGGGAAAUGAAACCAAAUGGGAUUCCUUAAGUAAUUGCGAAUGAAACAAGGAAAUGCUCAGCUUGAAAAAUGGGGCCUUCGGCUUUGAAUUGUAAUUUUGAAAUGUAUUGCCAAUGGAGGCGCAGGUGCAAGCCUAUUGAAAGAAAGCGUCAAUGAGGGUGAGAUUCCUUUUUGUCAUUUGCAGUCCUCCGUGCACGGUAUAUAUUUGACGAGUCACACUCCUCGGCAUUGGAAUGCAAAGUGGGUGGUAAAUUCCAUGUAAAGGUAAAUAUAUUAUUGAGACUGAUAGCAAACAAGUACCAUGAGGGAAAUAUGAAAAGGACUUUGAAAAGAGAAUUAAAAGAGUCUGCAUUUGCUGAACAGAAAGCAAACAGAAUUGAUCUUGCCUGGUGAGAUUGUUGCGUCUACUUCUGCAUUUCUAUGUUGGAUGUGGGUGCGAUGGUUCUUGCCUUGAAUGUCAGCUUCUUUUUCUGCAAAUCAUUACCCUUGCACAUGAAUGGUAAUUUGCCUGCGGGUAUUGGAAUGCAUGUGUUUGCCAUGAUUUGUGAUUUGAUACAUGUGUCUGGUGGUACUUGUGUGUGUUCCUUUGUCAAAGGGGAAAGGUUUGCUUCCUUGAGCACCACAAGCCCUUGCACAAUGUUGCUGCAAAAUGUUCUGCUGACCCGUCUGUAACACGGCCCA